CAAGGAUUCAACAUCACACUGUUUUUGUUAGCUGCCUAUGUGUGUUUGUUUGCUGUGUAUCCAAAAGACAGAGGAGAUGAACAAGGAAAAGAAAAGAAACAAGGAAUCAGAUUGGAAAGACAGUAUGAGUUUGUGCUUAUGAAAUAAAACUUCUGUCCCUCUACACAGGACCCGGAGUCUGUCCCAAUUUCCUGUCUCUAACCUCACUGUAAGUGCUGACCCACUUCUGGCUAUUUUUAUUUGUUUCUUUGAAAAUGCUCACUGGGAUUGGAGUUGACUUGCCGACUCUGUUCUGUAUCCUUCCCACCACCUGAUCCCAGAGGGCAGAGCUUCCCACCUCAUGCCAGUGAUUACGGAGAUUUCUCCAGGAUGUUACCUGUAUGAGGUACACAGUGUGAGGACACGCUCCGUGCUUUUCCUACUUGGGUCCACACUAUUUAUUGCUUCUGCUAGAGAUAGACAAAGCCUACUUGAAAGCCGGGAAAUGAAGAACCUGAAGUUGGUGUGCACAGUGGGUAGAAAGUGAUCCUGCCACCCGAACCUUGGGGAGCAGUGGGCUCAGGCAGGUUUGUCACCAGCCAUCCUAGGGCCACCAUUCAUCUCAGCCUUCAUCAAUGUGUUCAUAAACGUGAACAGACUCAGUAAAUGUGACAAUCAUCUGAGCGGUGGUGUUCUGAGGAGGGGGAACGUUUUUCUGAAUUUGCGAAUGAGUCCAUGGGGGUCUUUGACAAUGGGUACAAGGAAGUAGACGAGACAGCAACUUUUAAUGCCGACUGACGUCCCACUAUAAUGAAGCAACAUGGUGGACACACAGGGGCCCGCCAGGCCGGAGGUGAGACCGCGGGGGACAGAGGCACCUGGAAAGAAGUGCGGAGCAGAUGUGACCCGGGAAAGCCUGUGGCGGAGGCCACUCCACACAAGAACCAAAGAGCUUUGGAAAGGAAGCAUUGCAGUGGGCAUAUGUGCCUCUCUGAACUUGUGCAACGGGCUGGUGAUUCCUCAUUGUUCUGUGAUGUUGGUUUCAGUUUUGUAAUGAGUUUUCAUGAAAAUAAUGAGCAUAAUGAAAGCCCACAUCCCUCUCAAAGUAGCAGAAUGGAAAACAGAACUCUGAAGAACCAGCUCUCUUGACAUUCUGAGGCCCAGAUAUUUCUCUCGGGGUUGUAGAACAACCUCGAACCUGCGUGUCUCCCUGGCCCCACUGGACACCUGCCCCUGGACCUUCCUACCAUCUAGGGGGUGAUGCACUUGAGUGAAGAUUCUCCAUGCGGCACCGGGGAUUUCUGCCAUUGUGAACUUUUUAACAGGUGUUCUUGGGAUGAUGAUUUUUCGGGUGUACCCCCCACCGGCAGCAGUUGCGUUUCUGGGCUUGCGAUUCAAGGCAUGACUGAGCAGGUGGGAGAUGAUGCCAUGCAUCUUUUGGCAUGAGGUCUCUUUCAAGUAAACGAAGAGGCGUUUUCGGAAACACUGCAGAGAGAGAAAUGUGAGCACAUAUUUUUUUGCUCUGGCCACCAUGAUUCUUUUGCAUCUGGUCACCAUUUCCCUGCACUCCAUGGUACCCCCUUCCCCAAGCUCCCGGGCCCACUAAUUGUGAGAUCAACGAAAAGCAUUAGCUAUGGACUCAGCACGCCUCCUCCCCUGAGCACUCCCGACAGCCAGCAGAAAUCAAUAAAUUAGGAUAAAGAAAAUGACA
Long non-coding RNA from Piliocolobus tephrosceles (Ugandan red Colobus), 1690 nucleotides. The record is from Ensembl. Lineage: Eukaryota; Metazoa; Chordata; Mammalia; Primates; Cercopithecidae.